Molecule: ribosomal RNA, 539 nt
Filed under: uncultured bacterium
Lineage: Bacteria
Description: bacterial SSU rRNA
Rfam family: Bacterial small subunit ribosomal RNA
Source: RNAcentral
AAUAGAUACCCGGUAGUCCACGCCGUAAACGAUGAAUACUAGGUGUAGGGGUUGUCAUGACCUCUGUGCCGCCGCAAACGCAUUAAGUAUUCCGCCUGGGGAGUACGGUCGCAAGAUUAAAACUCAAAGGAAUUGACGGGGGCCCGCACAAGCAGCGGAGCAUGUGGUUUAAUUCGAAGCAACGCGAAGAACCUUACCUAGACUUGACAUCUCCUGAAUUACUCUUAAUCGAGGAAGUCCCUUCGGGGACAGGAAGACAGGUGGUGCAUGGUUGUCGUCAGCUCGUGUCGUGAGAUGUUGGGUUAAGUCCCGCAACGAGCGCAACCCUUAUUGUUAGUUGCUACCAUUAAGUUGAGCACUCUAGCAAGACUGCCCGGGUUAACCGGGAGGAAGGUGGGGAUGACGUCAAAUCAUCAUGCCCCUUAUGUCUAGGGCUACACACGUGCUACAAUGGCAAGUACAAAAGAUGCAAUACCGCAAGGUGGAGCUAAACUUAAAAACUUGUCUCAGUUCGGAUUGUAGGCUGAAACUCGCCUACA